GAUGAACGCUGGCGGCGUGCCUAAUACAUGCAAGUCGAGCGAACAGACGAGGAGCUUGCUCCUCUGACGUUAGCGGCGGACGGGUGAGUAACACGUGGAUAACCUACCUAUAAGACUGGGAUAACUUCGGGAAACCGGAGCUAAUACCGUAUAAUAUAUUGAACCGCAUGGUUCAAUAGUGAAAGACGGUUUUGCUGUCACUUAUAGAUGGAUCCGCGCCGCAUUAGCUAGUUGGUAAGGUAACGGCUUACCAAGGCGACGAUGCGUAGCCGACCUGAGAGGGUGAUCGGCCACACGGGAACUGAGACACGGUCCAGACUCCUACGGGAGGCAGCAGUAGGGAAUCUUCCGCAAUGGGCGAAAGCCUGACGGAGCAACGCCGCGUGAGUGAUGAAGGUCUUCGGAUCGUAAAACUCUGUUAUUAGGGAAGAACAAAUGUGUAAGUAACUAUGCACGUCGUGACGGUACCUAAUCAGAAAGCCACGGCUAACUACGUG
RNAcentral lists this ribosomal RNA (497 nucleotides) under uncultured bacterium. RNAcentral's name for it is "partial 16S ribosomal RNA". It matches the Rfam family "Bacterial small subunit ribosomal RNA", at positions 28 to 507 of the family's 1533-position model. The record is from RNAcentral.